AGUCUUCGGACGUCGGCGACCGGCGCACGGGUGCGUAACGCGUAUGGAACCUACCCAUCUCAGGGGGAUAGCCCGUGGAAACAUGGAUUAAUACCCCAUAAAGCAGGGAGCCCGCAUGGGCAUAUUGCUAAAGAUUCAUCGGAGAUGGAUGGCCAUGCGUGCCAUUAGCUAGAUGGCGGGGUAACGGCCCACCAUGGCGAUGAUGGCUAGGGGGUCUGAGAGGAUGAUCCCCCACACUGGCACUGAGACACGGGCCAGACUCCUACGGGAGGCAGCAGUAGGGAAUAUUGGGCAAUGGGCGGAAGCCUGACCCAGCCAUGCCGCGUGGGCGAAGAAGGACCUAGGUUCGUAAAGCCCUUUUACACGGGAAGAAAUGCAGGAUGCGUCCUGCUAUGACGGUACCGUGGGAAUAAGCACCGGCUAACUCCGUGCCAGCAGCCGCGGUAAUACGGAGGGUGCGAGCGUUGUCCGGAUUCAUUGGGCUUAAAGGGUGCGUAGGCGGCCUGCUAAGUCAGCGGUGAAAGGCACAGGCUUAACCUGUGAGCUGCCGUUGAUACUGGCAGGCUUGAGUCCCGGAGGGGAAGGCGGAAUUUGUGGUGUAGCGGUGAAAUGCAUAGAUACCACAAGGAACCCCGGAGGCGAAGGCGGCCUUCUGGCCGGCGACUGACGCUGAUGCACGAAAGCGCGGGUAGCGAACGGGAUUAGAUACCCCGGUAGUCC
Molecule: ribosomal RNA, 720 nt
Filed under: uncultured Bacteroidota bacterium
Lineage: Bacteria; Pseudomonadati; Bacteroidota
Description: bacterial SSU rRNA
Rfam family: Bacterial small subunit ribosomal RNA
Source: RNAcentral